CUCCAGUUUCUACUGUGAGGCCUGGGCGGAGAGGAGUAAUCCCAGAGUUCUUCAGGAAUACUGGGGCGCCUGUCACAAAUUUAUCACAGUUUUGGUGAAAGGGACACUUUCUGGGUCCUCCCAGUGUGGAGUUCAGCUUUGAAGACUCCUGAAAAAUCUGGCAAGCUUUCCCAUCGCCUGCUUCAACCAAUAAGCAUCGCUACCUCAAGGAAGUAAGUUGUGCAUAUAAAGGGGCUCCUUGAAUUCAUUCUUGAUUCUGUCAAGCCAUCCUCAAUCUGGAUAAUUGGUCCCUGUGUGCUUGGAGGAGGACUUUGACUCUGAACAGAAUAUCUCCAUCCUGUCGUUGGUUGUGAACCACAGUGCCAUUGCCAUCUAAGGCUUUUGAUGCUAACUGCACGGAGCAUUUGCAUAGCACAGUAA
Molecule: long non-coding RNA, 420 nt
Organism: Miniopterus natalensis
Lineage: Eukaryota; Metazoa; Chordata; Mammalia; Chiroptera; Miniopteridae
Source: RefSeq, a predicted model, not a curated record